AAGUCGUAACAAGGUCUCCGUAGGUGAACCUGCGGAGGGAUCAUCAACAUCGCCACCCACACGGUCUCUCUGCCGGUUGGAGGGUUCUCUGUCUCACUCUGUCAGAGUGGCAGGAGCCCUCAGGCCGAGUCAGGAGGCCUGUGACCCACCCUUGAACCUUACACAUACACCCACACCUGACCCACUGCCUUGAAGGACUCCAUGUCCUUCGAUGUUCCCUCCCCAACAUCAGGAAGGACUCUGCCCUUUGCAUGUCGGUGCAAGGAACAGGACCUUCCUAAGUCAACGACUUCAAUCAUUCUGGGCGGUGGACGUCUUGGCUCUCGU
Molecule: unclassified non-coding RNA, 327 nt
Filed under: fungal sp.
Lineage: Eukaryota; Fungi
Description: partial internal transcribed spacer region
Rfam family: Eukaryotic small subunit ribosomal RNA (bases 1-46)
Source: RNAcentral